This 497-nucleotide ribosomal RNA is filed under the name uncultured bacterium. Its description in RNAcentral is "partial 16S ribosomal RNA". It matches the Rfam family "Bacterial small subunit ribosomal RNA", at positions 28 to 507 of the family's 1533-position model. The record is from RNAcentral.
GAUGAACGCUGGCGGCGUGCCUAAUACAUGCAAGUCGAGCGAACGGACGAGAAGCUUGCUUCUCUGAUGUUAGCGGCGGACGGGUGAGUAACACGUGGAUAACCUACCUAUAAGACUGGGAUAACUUCGGGAAACCGGAGCUAAUACCGGAUAAUAUUUUGAACCGCAUGGUUCAAAAGUGAAAGACGGUCUUGCUGUCACUUAUAGAUGGAUCCACGCUGCAUUAGCUAGUUGGUAAGGUAACGGCCUACCAAGGCAACGAUGCAUAGCCGACGUGAGAGGGUGAUCGCCCACACUGGAACUGGAACACGGUCCAGAGUCCUACGGGAGGCAGCAGUAGGGAAUCUUCCGCAAUGGGCGAAAGCCUGACGGAGCGACGCCGCGUGAGUGAUGAAGGUCUUCGGAUCGUAAAACUCUGUUAUUAGGGAAGAACAUAUGUGUAAGUAACUGUGCACAUCUUGACGGUACCUAAUCAGAAAGCCACGGCUAACUACGUG